UAUAUAUAAAUUUUAACUUAGAGUUUAUUAUAUUAACAUCAUUUGUCAAACAUAAACACAAAAUAAAUUACAAUUCCGAAAAAAUGGAUAUCGAAAGUAUAAUUCAGGAAGUACAGGCUAUAAAGUUUUACCCAUAUAUGAUGUAUAAUGCCUCUAAGUUGAAAGUACUGAGCGACUACGUAGAUAUAGCUUUUGAAAAUAAUGAAUAUUUUGAUAAUGAUGCUAUGCUCAUUUUAUUGAGGCUUUUUUGUUUGUACCCACAUAGCUACGACAAAAACGUAAUUAAAAAGAUGCUAAUAUGUGUUUUAUAUAAUAUUAAUACGGUUGAUAUGAACACAUAUUUGAGUUUAAUAAACCCUAAUUUAUUUGAUGAAAAUGUAAAAAAUGUAAUAUAUUUAUACGAGUUAAUAAAAGAUUGUAAAUUUAUAAAAUUAUGGAAAUGUAUAAACAAGAAAAAUGAAGAUGACAACAGUACUAAUGAUUAUUCUUCUUUAAUAAACUGUGAUCAUUUCACAAAUAAUAUCAGAAAGUAUAUUUUAAAUUCUAUUUCAUUAAGUUAUGAAAAUAUAACGUUAAAAAAAAUGUCUGAAUAUUUAAAUAUGGAUAUGCCACAACUUGAAAGUUUUUUAAAUGAAAAUAACUGGGUUAUCAAAAAAGUUAAUUACAAAGACCAAGAACAUGUUAUUUGUAGUAAUAAUAAUAUAGAAGCAUUCCAAACUAAAAACAUUAACAACUAUUUUAGUGAGGAUUAUAUAUCAUUAUAUAUUGAUAAGUUGAAUAAUUAAAAAAAGAAAAAAAGAAAAGAAAAAAAAAAGUAUGCACUUAGCGUUAUUGCACCUGCUACUUUUUCUGCUAUGUUACACAUAAGGUUAUGUGUUAUAUGAUAUCAUAUACCAUAUAUCUUUUUUUUUUUUUUUUUUUUUUUUUUUGUUAUGCAACUUUUUCCUUAUGCGUUAUUUGCUUUAAACAUUGUUUACAUAUAAGUAAAUAUAUGAGCAUAACUGCAUACAGAUAUAUGACUAUGAGUGCGUGGUGUAAGAAAACAUGCAUUUUGAAACUUUUUUUUUUUUUUUUAAAUACAUUGUCUACAAACAUAAUUUAAACAGGUAAAAUGUACAUAAAUGCAAU
This 1128-nucleotide long non-coding RNA is filed under the name Piliocolobus tephrosceles (Ugandan red Colobus). RNAcentral describes it as "lncRNA (ENSPTEG00000014588.1)". Lineage: Eukaryota; Metazoa; Chordata; Mammalia; Primates; Cercopithecidae. The record is from RNAcentral.